GAUGAAGAACGCAGCGAAAUGCGAUACGUAAUGUGAAUUGCAGAAUUCAGUGAAUCAUCGAAUCUUUGAACGCACAUUGCGCCCGCCAGCACUCUGGCGGGCAUGCCUGUUCGAGCGUCAUUUCAACCCUCAGAACCCCUUUGGGGGAUCUGGCGUUGGGGAUCGGCAGUCCUGCCGGCCCCGAAAUAUAGUGGCGGUCUCUCUGUGACCUUCCCUGUGUAGUAGCGAUACCUCGCAGCGGGAUAGCCGUUUGGCCACGCCGUAAAACACCCAACUUCUCAAGGUUGACCUCGAAUCAGGUAGGAAUACCCGCUGAACUUAAGCAUAUCAAUAAGCGGAGGA
Molecule: unclassified non-coding RNA, 342 nt
Filed under: soil metagenome
Description: partial contains 5.8S ribosomal RNA, internal transcribed spacer 2, and large subunit ribosomal RNA
Rfam family: 5.8S ribosomal RNA (bases 1-120)
Source: RNAcentral